GCUGUGGGGCUCAGUGGUAGUGCACUUACCUGGCAUGUGUGAGGCACUGGGUUCAAUUCUCAGCACCACG
Molecule: transfer RNA, 70 nt
Filed under: Marmota monax (woodchuck)
Lineage: Eukaryota; Metazoa; Chordata; Mammalia; Rodentia; Sciuridae
Description: tRNA.Ala
Source: RNAcentral